Molecule: RNA transcript, 1751 nt
Organism: Cryptomeria japonica (Japanese cedar)
Lineage: Eukaryota; Viridiplantae; Streptophyta; Pinopsida; Cupressales; Cupressaceae
Gene name: ABC transporter I family member 11, chloroplastic
Exons: 11
Source: RefSeq, a predicted model, not a curated record
AAAAUUAGACAUUAAAUCAACAAAUAUUGAGUCCUCCCUCCUAUCCACAUUAAAAGCUCUACAAUUGUUCAAGUUUAACGAAUCGGACGUCUCCCGAUUAGAAAUUUUGAAUCCGCUGGCCAGAGACUUCUUGAAUUUAAAAAAAUAGUACAAUGAGAAACAAAAAAAAUUUAAAGUUAAUCAAAGCGCUGGAAAUCUAACUGAAGUGGUUGAGUCAAUUCAUCAGUAUCGUAUCCGCAAUCACAAAAUUCAAUUGGGUUCAGUUUGCUGUGCAGGCGGGUAAAUUUGCUGUAGUGGUGAUAGUUUGUCUAGGCAGCAUUUGAAAAUUUUCAUGUAGGCUGAGCAAUUGCAGCCCUCCGUAAAAGCAAAUGCAAGCAAUAGUGAUUCGGACUGGGAGAAGAUAAUUUUGAUGAUGACUAUGUCUAUUGUACAUUUGGGUCCAGACAUAUGCAGUUGCACCUCUAUUUUCCAAGGCAAAAGGUUAAAGAAACUAUCCAGGUUGGAUAACUAUUUAUUAACCCUUUCAAGGAGAAAUAGAAUAAGGGUUUCAUCCGAACACACUUGUCUUGAGGUGCAAGGUGUAAGCUAUCGUGUACCUGGUACCCAACAUAAUCUUUUAAAUCGAGUUUCUUUUUCUCUGCCAGAAAAGAGCUUAGGUUUGAUAUAUGGACGCAGUGGCAGUGGUAAGACAACAUUGUUGCAGGUUCUCAGUGGCUUAGCAAAACCGACAGCGGGGUCAAUCUGUUUAAAAAAGAAAAGGCUAGAUGGACAGUCAAACGAGUCUGAAGAAAUUUUAUCAGCUUCAAAAGUGGGCCUUGUUUUCCAGUUUCCAGAGAGGUACUUUUUGGCUGAUACUGUGGCUGGGGAACUGACUUUUGGAUUCAAAAAGCGAUUGGAAGAUCAAUUCUUCAUGCAGCAAUUUAGAAUGAGACUUGAGUCAGCUAUUUUAGCUGUUGGACUUAAUGGCAUUGCCUUGGAUCUUGAUCCCCGUUCUUUAAGUGAUGGCUUUAAGCGUCGUCUUGCACUAGCAGUUCAGCUUGUACGCAUGCCGGAUAUUUUAUUGUUAGAUGAGCCUCUUGCGGGUCUUGAUUGGAAAGCUCGGGCAGAUGUGGUUAAGUUAUUGGAGAAUCUAAAGAAAGAUAUAAUGUUGAUUGUCGUCAGCCAUGAUUUGAAGUGGCAAAAAAAUAAAGGUUUUCCAAACAGCAGAUUAAGGGUGGUGAUGUGGCUUUUUAGACAGCAAAAAAAUCAUAAUGUAGCAAACAUCAGGUUUCAAGCAAAGUCAAUUUCCAAAAGAUCCACUUGUGGGACCCAUGCAUGCUGUAAGGGUGAAAGAGGCAAACAUAUGUAAGGCAGCUGUGAGGGAUCAACACAUUUUUUUUGUUUUUCUUGGGCCACUCCACUGCGCAAGAUAGCUACCAGCAUUGCAGGGAAAUAUCAAGGCUUGUUGACAAGGCUUGGAGAAUGGAGAUGGGUGGGUUCUUGAUUGAAGAACCAUUAUCCAUAUCCAAUUAGUGCCAACUCUCAGAGAUUGUAUAAAUUGUGAGAUGGGAGAUACCUCUAUGCUUGGAAUUUAAUUAUUCUUUAAAAGAGUUUUGUGGAAGUCAUGCACUAUCAAUCUAACAUCUAUUUCCAUAAUUUUUCUUAUUUUGGUUAGUUUCAAGGUAGUGACAUGGAUAUUUGUUUCUACAAAGUUAUCUUGGAUUUUUUUAAUUAUCAUAUUUAUAAAAAGGAAUUGGUAUCUUACAAUUCAA